RNAcentral lists this ribosomal RNA (713 nucleotides) under uncultured bacterium. RNAcentral's name for it is "bacterial SSU rRNA". It matches the Rfam family "Bacterial small subunit ribosomal RNA", at positions 1 to 710 of the family's 1533-position model. The record is from RNAcentral.
UAGAGUUUGAUCAUGGCUCAGGAUGAACGCUAGCGACAGGCUUAACACAUGCAAGUCGAGGGGCAGCGGGGAGGUAGCAAUACUUCCGCCGGCGACCGGCGCACGGGUGAGUAACACGUAUGGAACCUGCCCGUAGCAGGGGGAUAAGCGGAAGAAAUUCCGUCUAAUACCGCGUAAUAACUCCGAGAGGCAUCUCAUGGAGUUUAAAGGGUAAUACCGGCUACGGAUGGCCAUGCGGCGCAUUAGCUAGUUGGCGGGGUAACGGCCCACCAAGGCGACGAUGCGUAGGGGUUCUGAGAGGAAGGUCCCCCACACUGGUACUGAGACACGGACCAGACUCCUACGGGAGGCAGCAGUGAGGAAUAUUGGUCAAUGGGCGGGAGCCUGAACCAGCCAAGUCGCGUGAGGGAUGACGGCCCUAUGGGUUGUAAACCUCUUUUGCCGGGGAGCAAAGUGCCGCACGUGUGCGGUUUGGAGAGUACCCGGAGAAAAAGCAUCGGCUAACUCCGUGCCAGCAGCCGCGGUAAUACGGAGGAUGCGAGCGUUAUCCGGAUUUAUUGGGUUUAAAGGGUGCGCAGGCGGAUUUUUAAGUCAGCGGUCAAAUCGUGGGGCUCAACCCCAUCCAGCCGUUGAAACUGGGGAUCUAGAGUGUGCGAGAAGUAUGCCGAAUGCGUGGUGUAACGGUGAAAUGCAUAGAUAUCACGCAGAACUCC